This 1081-nucleotide long non-coding RNA is filed under the name Cricetulus griseus (Chinese hamster). RNAcentral describes it as "lncRNA (ENSCGRG00000024992.1)". Lineage: Eukaryota; Metazoa; Chordata; Mammalia; Rodentia; Cricetidae. The record is from RNAcentral.
CACUGGGUCAGACCUCCAAAGUGUGUGGGCAGUGAAAAGGCCUGAGAGAGAUCAUGGUUCACAAUGCAGAUAUGAAGGGAACUGCUGCUUAACUGGCAGACUGUACUGCCCUGAGAGAAGGCUCAGCCCUCUGGAGAGUCCCUCUCUCUUGUUGAGUCAGGAAACCCAUGACACUCUUUCCCCUGUUGAUGCAAGACCUAAUGAGCUCCCUGCUGAGGAGAAAUCCUCAGGGGACAGGGGCUCCAGUUUCAGAGCAGAUGGGGCAAUGUUUGUUCUCACCUGUUCUCAGCAAAAUCUUCUUGCCAUAGUCAAGCUGUGUGCGGAGCAACUUCACACAUUCCUUCUCCAAGUCGCUAGGUUGACACAGGCGCUAUCUACAUUCAGCGAUCUAAAGUACCGUGGAAUCCUUGGUAGUUUGCUGCAUCUACAUUCAUGGGACAGUCUUGUUCAUUGAGUGGCUGUUGUGUUAUUACAUCUUAGUUUUAAAAAGGAGAAUAUUGAGCCGGGCGAUGGUGGCUCACGCCUUUGAUCCUGGCACUCUGGAGACAGAGGCAGGCAGAUCUCUGUGAGUUCGAGGCCAGCCUGGUCUACAGAGCUACACAGAGAAACCCUGUCUUGAACCAUCAAAAAAAAUAAAAUAAAAUAAAAUAAAGAAUAUUGUUGACUAUGUUGGUCAGUCUCUCAGCAUUCAUGCACUUAUAUAAUUUUUAUCAAAUCUCACUUGUUAACAUUAUCACAGAUUUCACCGGAGACACCUGUGAGCACUUAAAGUAGUAACACUUAUUAUGGUGAGGGGUCCAAGUGCCUUCAAAGUGGUAAAGUAGUGCUGAGAGCGUAGAGCUUAUCGUUGCUGUAUCAGGCCGCAGGAGGGCUGAGAGAGGAAAUAAUCGAAUCACAUUUUAUAUUAUAGUAGAAGUUGUUAGGUAUGUUGCAAAUAACUACAGGGCGGACAGGAAAAUGAGGUCUACCCACUGUUUGUGUCCGGGGCUGCAGGGUUAUAGCUUUGGACAAAUACUGUCCAUCUAGGCAUUUUGUUUUGGUGAAUUUUCCUGGCAUGCCAUUCACUCUCUGUGGAUGAAAG